RNAcentral lists this ribosomal RNA (517 nucleotides) under uncultured bacterium. RNAcentral describes it as "bacterial SSU rRNA". It matches the Rfam family "Bacterial small subunit ribosomal RNA", at positions 15 to 518 of the family's 1533-position model. The record is from RNAcentral.
GAUCUGGCUCAGAUUGAACGCUGGCGGCGUGCUUAACACAUGCAAGUCGCGCGUGAAAGGACUUCGGUCCGAGUAAAGCGGCGCACGGGUGAGUAACGCGUGGAUGAUCUACCCAUGAGUUGGGAAUAACGGUUGGAAACGAUCGCUAAUACCCGGUACGUUCCGAUUUCAACUUCGGGAGAAAGGGGGCCUCUGCUUGCAAGCUUCUGCUCAUGGAUGAGUCCGCGUCCCAUUAGCUAGUUGGUGAGGUAACGGCUCACCAAGGCAUCGAUGGGUAGCCGGUCUGAGAGGACGACCGGCCACACUGGGACUGGAACACGGCCCAGACUCCUACGGGAGGCAGCAGUGGGGAAUAUUGCGCAAUGGGCGAAAGCCUGACGCAGCGACGCCGCGUGAGGGAUGAAGGUCUUCGGAUCGUAAACCUCUGUCAAGAGGGAAGAAACGUCAGGGUGCUAAUCAGCCCUGAUCUGACGGUACCUCUAAAGGAAGCACCGGCUAACUCCGUGCCAGCCGCCGC